Molecule: ribosomal RNA, 1359 nt
Filed under: uncultured bacterium
Lineage: Bacteria
Description: bacterial SSU rRNA
Rfam family: Bacterial small subunit ribosomal RNA
Source: RNAcentral
AUUGAACGCUGGCGGCAUGCCUUACACAUGCAAGUCGAACGGCAGCAUGAUCUAGCUUGCUAGAUUGAUGGCGAGUGGCGAACGGGUGAGUAAUACAUCGGAACGUGCCCUGUAGUGGGGGAUAACUAGUCGAAAGAUUAGCUAAUACCGCAUACGACCUGAGGGUGAAAGUGGGGGACCGCAAGGCCUCAUGCUAUAGGAGCGGCCGAUGUCUGAUUAGCUAGUUGGUGAGGUAAAGGCUCACCAAGGCGACGAUCAGUAGCUGGUCUGAGAGGACGAUCAGCCACACUGGGACUGAGACACGGCCCAGACUCCUACGGGAGGCAGCAGUGGGGAAUUUUGGACAAUGGGGGCAACCCUGAUCCAGCAAUGCCGCGUGUGUGAAGAAGGCCUUCGGGUUGUAAAGCACUUUUGUCCGGAAAGAAAUCGCACUUACUAAUAUUAGGUGUGGAUGACGGUACCGGAAGAAUAAGGACCGGCUAACUACGUGCCAGCAGCCGCGGUAAUACGUAGGGUCCAAGCGUUAAUCGGAAUUACUGGGCGUAAAGCGUGCGCAGGCGGUUGUGCAAGACCGAUGUGAAAUCCCCGGGCUUAACCUGGGAAUUGCAUUGGUGACUGCACGGCUAGAGUGUGUCAGAGGGGGGUAGAAUUCCACGUGUAGCAGUGAAAUGCGUAGAGAUGUGGAGGAAUACCGAUGGCGAAGGCAGCCCCCUGGGAUAACACUGACGCUCAUGCACGAAAGCGUGGGGAGCAAACAGGAUUAGAUACCCUGGUAGUCCACGCCCUAAACGAUGUCAACUAGUUGUUGGGGAUUCAUUUCCUUAGUAACGUAGCUAACGCGUGAAGUUGACCGCCUGGGGAGUACGGUCGCAAGAUUAAAACUCAAAGGAAUUGACGGGGACCCGCACAAGCGGUGGAUGAUGUGGAUUAAUUCGAUGCAACGCGAAAAACCUUACCUACCCUUGACAUGCCACUAACGAAGCAGAGAUGCAUUAGGUGCUCGAAAGAGAAAGUGGACACAGGUGCUGCAUGGCUGUCGUCGGCUCGUGUCGUGAGAUGUUGGGUUAAGUCCCGCAACGAGCGCAACCCUUGUCUCUAGUUGCUACGAAAGGGCACUCUAGAGAGACUGCCGGUGACAAACCGGAGGAAGGUGGGGAUGACGUCAAGUCCUCAUGGCCCUUAUGGGUAGGGCUUCACACGUCAUACAAUGGUGCAUACAGAGGGUUGCCAAGCCGCGAGGUGGAGCUAAUCCCAGAAAAUGCAUCGUAGUCCGGAUCGUAGUCUGCAACUCGACUACGUGAAGCUGGAAUCGCUAGUAAUCGCGGAUCAGCAUGCCGCGGUGAAUACGUUCCCGGGUCU